RNAcentral lists this ribosomal RNA (252 nucleotides) under uncultured prokaryote. RNAcentral describes it as "partial 16S rRNA". It matches the Rfam family "Archaeal small subunit ribosomal RNA", at positions 475 to 726 of the family's 1478-position model. The record is from RNAcentral.
ACCGGCAGCUCAAGUGGUGGCCAUUAUUAUUGGGCCUAAAGCGUUCGUAGCCGGUUUGAUAAGUCUCUGGUGAAAUCCCGCAGCUUAACUGUGGGACUUGCUGGAGAUACUAUCAGACUUGAGGUCGGGAGAGGUUAGGGGUACUCCCAGAGUACGGCUGAAAGCAUAGAAUCCGGGGAGGAGAAACGGUGGCGAGGGCGACUCACUGGAAAGAAACUGACGGUUAGUAACGAUUGCGAGGUAGGUGAAUGG